This 480-nucleotide ribosomal RNA is filed under the name uncultured Glomus. RNAcentral describes it as "SSU rRNA". It matches the Rfam family "Eukaryotic small subunit ribosomal RNA", at positions 569 to 1054 of the family's 1831-position model. The record is from RNAcentral. Lineage: Eukaryota; Fungi; Glomeromycota; Glomeromycetes; Glomerales; Glomeraceae.
AGCAGCCGCGGUAAUUCCAGCUCCAAUAGCGUAUAUUAAAGUUGUUGCAGUUAAAAAGCUCGUAGUUGAAUUUCGGGAUCAAUAUGUUGGUCGUGCCUCGGUACGUACUAGCUUAUUGGUUUCUCCUUUCUGAAGAACCAUGAUGUCAUUUAUUUGGUGUCGUGGGGAAUCAGGACUGUUACUUUAGAAAAAAUUAGAGUGUUUAAAGCAGGCUCACGCUUGAAUACAUUAGCAUGGAAUAAUGAAAUAGGACGUUUGAUUCUAUUUUGUUGGUUUCUAGGAUCGACGUAAUGAUUAAUAGGGAUAGUUGGGGGCAUUAGUAUUCAAUUGUCAGAGGUGAAAUUCUUGGUAUUUAUUAGAAGACUAACUACUGCGAAGCAUUUGCCAAGGAUGUUUUCAUUAAUCAAGAACGAAAGUUAGGGAUCGAAGACGAUCAGAUACCGUCGUAGUCUUAACCAUAAACUAUACGCCGACGUAGGG